This 592-nucleotide ribosomal RNA is filed under the name Blastocystis sp. subtype 5. Its description in RNAcentral is "SSU rRNA". It matches the Rfam family "Eukaryotic small subunit ribosomal RNA", at positions 1 to 603 of the family's 1831-position model. The record is from RNAcentral. Lineage: Eukaryota; Bigyra; Opalinata; Blastocystidae.
AUCUGGGUUGAUCCUGCCAGUAGUCAUACGCUCGUCUCAAAGAUUAAGCCAUGCAUGUGUAAGUAUAAAUAAUUCUACUUUGAAACUGCGAAUGGCUCAUUAUAUCAGUUAUAGUUUAUUAGAAAUAGUUUUCUACUUGGAUAACCGUAGUAAUUCUAGGGCUAAUACAUGAGUAAAUCCUCGACUUUUGAAGAGGUGUGUUUAUUAGUAUGAAAACCAUAUGCUUUUGCAUGAUAGUGAGUAAUAAUAACCUUUCAUAUCGCCUGUUUUUAAUAGCGAUAGUUCUUUCAAGUUUCCGCCCUAUCAGCUUUCGAUGGUAGUGUAUUGGACUACCAUGGCAGUAACGGGUAACGAAGAGUUUGGGUUCGAUUUCGGAGAGGGAGCCUGAGAGAUGGCUACCACAUCCAAGGAAGGCAGCAGGCGCGUAAAUUACCCAAUCCUGACAUAGGGAGGUAGUGACAAUAAAUUUCAAUGCGGGACUUUUUAGUUUUGCAAUUGGAUUGAGAACAAUGAACAAGAGUUAUCGAUAAACAAUUGGAGGGCAAGUCUGGUGCCAAGCAGCCGCGGUAAUCCCAGCUCCCAAAAGUGGAAA